AAUAUGGUCACGUCCUUCAAACACCUGAGAGACGAGAAGAGUUUUACAGAUGUAACGCUCGCCUGUGACGGACAGACUUGCAAAGCCCACAAGAUGGUUUUAUCUGCGUGUAGUCCGUACUUCAAAUCCUUGUUAGAGUCUCUCUAUAUACAGGAAAAUCCGUCCAAGCAUCCAAUAAUAAUUCUUAAGGAUGUAGCAUAUAGUCACCUCCAGGCGAUACUGGAAUUCAUGUAUGCCGGUGAAGUGAACGUGUCGCAGGAUCAAUUACCCGCCUUUUUGAAAACAGCAGACCGACUAAAAGUAAAAGGACUGGCCGAGGCGCCUGGAGCCAUUAAAAGAGAGGGCUAAGUUCAUUGAUCGUUUAGUUAUGGGUGCAGACUGUGGGCUGUGUGAUGAUUGAGUAAGAAGAUGAAAAGUGAUGGAUAAAACUGAGAGAAAUACGUGGAAACACAUUGACAAAAACGGAAACAAGAAAAAAGCAGAGAGAAUGAGUAAGGAAACGAAAAAAAGUGAAGAUUGGAUCAUGCAGCGAAAAAGAAAGGAUAGAGAGAGAGAGAGAGAGAGAGUCACCUGUGGUUCGCGACGAGAAUGGAGGGUGGCCGAAUAGUAAAAUUAACAUUAUUUUUCUUUUUUUUCUAAACUACAAUUAUUGUUGACAUUUUACCGAAGAAUAUGCGAAGAAGGUUAAAAAUGAAGAAUAAAAGAACCGAGAAGGAGAAGAAGGAGUUAAUAAAAAGAGUUGUAAGAUUUAAAAGAAGUUCACGUUCACGUCUCGAGCUUGAGGCGAAAUUAUAGGACACAGAAAAUGAAGGAAAGCAACUCUACGGGGCUCACACACACACACACUCAACACAGCACACAAUCACUGAUUAUAUUUUUUGUAAAAAAAAUUGCCCAAAAGACAAGUAACGUUUAAAAUACUUUUGUGACUAAAACCAGGAACUAUUGUUUAUGGAACUUCAUCCAUUUCCAUUUGAAGAAUUCGAUCAAUUGUUCACAUUAAUGAUGAAUCGCGUUUCAUAAGUUUCGAGCAUAAAUUCGCUACCGAUCCAUUUCUCUCACUUCCGGUACAACUGUUACUUUUUCUUCUUUCAUACCUCCAAUUACUCACAAACCCCUUAUCAAUUUAAUUAUUAUUACAAGAAAAAAAAUAUAUAUAUAUAUCGUAAACGGAUCAUCAUUUUGUGCGGUCGGCGGACCGCCGAAAGCCCCGACUAUCUUAUCCAAUGGCCUGAAAUCAAGUUUAUCGGAAGUCGUGUCCUCUACUUUUUACCGUCACCACCUCUUCCCUUUUUCAUAAUUUUCAUAUGCUCUUUUAAAAUCACAAUUUACUCUAAAAUCAUCGAAAUAUCGAUUUAAACCAUGAUGUCCCGUAAACUCUGUCUUUUUUCCCUGAAACAACACUCGAUGGGGAAAAAAAAUCAGAUGAAUUUUUGAUAAUGUGCAUGAAAAAUCGAUUUUUCGUGAAUUUUAAAAACCCUUCAACGAACUGACAAUUUGAGCUAAUCUGACCAAUGUUUGACUUCCGGUAGCCCUGAUUCGCCUGAACCAAAUACUGCCAGGAUUGUACCGGCGUAUUUACAUUAUUACCGAUAGACCAAAUUUAUUUAUGAUAAUAAUAUAUUGAGGGUUGUUGUCUUAAGCUAAAAACAAAAGUAGGGAAGAAGAAAGAAAUGCUAUUGACGAUAAAAGAAAAAGAAAAUAACGAAGACUAACGAUGUAAACACUGAUGAGAAGAAUUUUUGUAACGCCAGAGCGCACAGUUCCUUUCUUUCACUCGUGUUCUCUCUUUUUUACUUUUCAUCGUUUUUCCCUUUUUUUUUCUUUUUAUUUUGUUUCAAAUUCAACUUACGUUUUCUCAAACACCAUUGCAAUAUUGACGAAAAUUAAUAUGCGUUUGGCACUACCAAUAGUGAGCCGAGAUAAUGAUAAACUUAUGAUUUAUGAGGGGUCCUGCAAAUUUGUUGUCUCACGAAAAGAAAAGAAAACGAUAAAAUACCGAAAUCCCUUCGAUUUCUGUCUCAGAUCUGACCUCGAAAGAAAUUCAUCCCAAAUUCGAUUAAGCUCGAGUAAUUUGUUCCGAAAACGACGAAAUAUUUUGUUGAAAUAAGUAUUUUUAAAAUUUUUGCUCAUUGCUACUUAUUUUUCAUAAUUAAGGAUAUGAAAUUUGGCACUUUUUAGGUUUACACAUGAAUUUGCAAUUUUUUAAAUAUUAUUAUAACGAAGGACUUGGGAAUGCACUCAAUUUAUGUUGCAUUCCAACGAUGUUAACUUCGAGUACAUAAAUCCUGAGUCGACGUCCUUUUCCCAUGCACUUUUUUGUUGUUCUAUUUCGUUCCAACGCGGUUAGCCAUUGAUCGAACGAUUUCAACACUCUUCAAACGAAUCUUCGAGUUCCUUGAGUUUCUACUUUAAAUUCCCUUCAUUCGAAAAUGAUUCUUUGAUUAUUAAAAUUCUCCUUAAUUCUCCUGCCAAUACUCGCGCUGCGCGUUCUCUUUCUCCGUUACUUUGCUCCAACAAUCGAUUCGCCGAUCACCUCAUUCAAUAAUCUAGUACUUCGAGCUCAUGUCGCUCUUUCUUUUUCUUCCAAAACUCGAUUGUGAGAUUUGAAAAAAUACUCGAAUAAUGAAGCGCAGCGAAUUUUGUCAUUUUUCAAAUGAGAUUUCACGUCUUUAUUCUCACUUUUUAUGCUCUCGAAGCCUCAAUAAUUUGUUUUCGUCCACUCCCAGUCAAAAUUCCAUUUGACGCCUUUGGUCCAUCGUUUUUUCCCAAAAUGACAAUAAGUUCGAUGUGCAAUGAACGAUCGGCUAACCGCAAUCUGGACAUUCCUUUCGUAGCAAAUCCAACCUCCCUUCAACGAUCUUUUCUCCAAACCCAUUUAUGUUUGUUCGUUUUUCUUAUAUUAUCGUUUACAUCACCGUAGCAAAACCAAACGUCGUUUUGCGAAAUGUUGGGUUUUUUAAUUCCACAGUAUCAGAACCUUCCUCCUUUGCCCCCGCUUAGUGAUAAUUUCGAUAUUGACAUAACUCGAUUACGAUAACGAUUAUAAUAUGAAUAUGUUGAAAUAUAAAAAUAAAUUGUGUAAAUAUUCGAAAA
Long non-coding RNA from Venturia canescens, 3096 nucleotides. RefSeq lists it as uncharacterized. The record is from RefSeq and is a predicted model, not a curated record. NCBI's taxonomy places the organism in Eukaryota, Metazoa, Arthropoda, Insecta, Hymenoptera, Ichneumonidae. The transcript has 3 exons.